GGGGGAGGGGCGGCGAGGCGAGGCCUGCGGAGCGGAGGAAGACAAACAUAAAGAUGAAGUGCUUAAUUCAAGGUCACACAAUGUCGGGGAUGGACCUCCAGAUUUCCUUACUGGUGAGACGUGGUCUUGUAACACAGUGGUUAAGAAUGUGACUUUGGAGCCAGCCUGCUAGGGGCUGAAUUCUGACUCAGCCAUUUACUAACUGUGUGACCUUAGGCUGGAGUGCAAUGGCAUGAUCUCGGCUCAUCACAACCUCUGCUUCCUGGGUUCAAGCGAUUCUCCUGCCUCAGCCUCCCGAGUACCUGGGACUACAGGCACUCGCCACCAUGCCCGGCUGAUUUUUGUAUUUUUAAUAGAGAUGGUUUCACUAUGUUGGCCAGGCUGGUCUCGAACUCCUGACCUUGUGAUCUGCCCACCUCAGCCUCGAAAAGUGCUGGGAUUACAGGCGUGAGCCACUGCGCCCAGCCUUGUAUUUUUUUUCAGUUUGGGUAGCUGUCCCUAAUUCAUUUGUUAAAGGAGAAGCAAGAGCAAGAACCUUUAAUCUGUUCUCCUCUUCCCUAAUUUGAAAGUAGCUUGUUAUUUUGAAUAUCACUUUCUCUGAAAUAGCACAUCUCCAUCUCAGAGAAUGGAUUUAAUGUUUGGAUACAGCCAAAAGUCAUUUCAUUACCAAACCAUGGGGUGAAUAUACCAUGUAAAGCAGUUUGGGAUCAGAACUCACAGUCUGAAUUGUAAGUGAUGAGACUGCUGUCUCUCUGCUACAGCUUCUUGGCUGGCUCUGAAGGCUCUUUGAAGGCAGAUCCUAACAAGGGGACUGCUUUGAAGGGCCAUUGUUCAUUUGGAAUGAUAAAGUCUAUGUUGUUCAAAAAACAAAUGCUUGUAGCAGGUAUUUUUUCACUCCAGACUGAGAAUAUUGGUGGGAUAUUGAUAAGGGGUACUGAAUGGUAAUAAACAUGUGCUCUAGCUCUGUGCUAGUCAGCUUAUUUCAGAACUCUAGUUUGAUUCAGUUUCUUGCCUCUGACUCAAAAUGGAGGGAGAGUGAUUUUUACAUAAGAGAACACACCCACAUAUCCUUUUGGCAGCAGCUACCUGCCAGAGAUGUUGAAGAAGAGUAGCCAACCUUUACACAGCAGAUAUUGUGUGCCAGUCAUAGUCCUAAGUAUAAUACCUUACAUGUAUAAACUUCUUAUAAGGUUGGUGCUCUGUACCGAAUUGAAUAGUAUCCCCCAAAAUUCAUGUUGUCCCAGAACCUAUGAAAGUGAUCUUACUUGAGGGAGGGGGGAGGGGGGAGGGAUAGCAUUAGGAGAUAUACCUAAUGCUAAAUGACGAGUUAAUGGGUGUAGCACACCAGCAUGGCACAUGUAUACAUAUGUAACUAACCUGCACAUUGU
RNAcentral lists this long non-coding RNA (1388 nucleotides) under Homo sapiens (human). RNAcentral describes it as "HSALNT0303390". Lineage: Eukaryota; Metazoa; Chordata; Mammalia; Primates; Hominidae. The record is from RNAcentral.